UCUAGCAGCGUCCGCAGAGCGGCAAGUGGAUCUCGUGUGUGGCCAGCCCUUCGCAGUCUCAGCAUAAAAGAAUUUGGCUAACAUUUAGGAAUCCGCCUAAUGAAAGGCUAUCUUGUUAAAGCUCCGCUAGCCAGAGGAUGAGUCUGCGUCUCCCUUUCCCACUUCCUGGAUGGCUCUGUGUGAUGCAUAGCAAUGACUCCAUCAUGUCUGCAUCAUGGGACACCGCCCGGGCCCUGGACAAUAAGCUGGCUUUGUGACUUUGGAACACACACCUCUUUGCCGUGAAUCCCGACCCGUUUCCACCAUGCAACUUAUUUCGCCCAUCAUAGCAUGCAGCGAUGUUGCAUAUUCACUACACAGGGUCACAGGUAAUCAGUUUGAUUUUACCCAGAAUGUAUGAAAGAAUGAAAAGACAGAGGGAGAUAGCUGAAGCUUGCAAAUAUUUCUCUCCUUGUUCUUCUCUCUAGAAAGGUCACACCUCGCCUUUAACAGGAGGUGAACAAGGAAGACACCAACAGACAUACCAACAUGGGUAGAGAAAAGCCCACAAGGCUUCAACCCUACAUGAAAUCUACAAGCAACUAAGAAAUGCUGAGAGCAGGAGAAAUCACCUUCCCCAGGGAAGAGCACACCAAUUGGUUAUUCAGUUCCAAAUGGUCAUCCCUGCAAACAUACAAAAAAAUAGCGUUAGGCUGAGAGAGCAGGUUGUGUUCACAAUCAUAUAUGUAUUCCAAAUGUAUACACAUGUGCACUAGUAACAGCCAAUGAAAUAAGAAGCCAGGAACUUGAAAAACAGUAAGAAGGGACAUAUGGGAAGGUUUGGAGGGAGGAAAAGGAGGAGGAAAUGUUGUAAAGGUGCCAAUUUAAACUCAUCAAACUCAUCACUUUCAAGUGGCAGAAUGGCCUGAAAUUGAAUGGAAAGAACACAAACAAUGAUGAAUAAAUACUAAUAAGAAGAGUGCCAUGCAUGCUGUAUCUUGCCACCACAAAAUGUCUUAAGAAGCAAGUAUGAAGAUUAAAAAAAACUAAAUAUAUACAUAUUCAAUGAAGAGCUAGAACACUUCACUGGAAAGACUGGACUGUUCCUCAGAAACUCUUUGGUAAAUAGAAUUUAGCCAGAAACAGCUUUAUCUUUCACUUUUAAAUUUCAUUUUAUGAAA
This is a long non-coding RNA of Meriones unguiculatus (Mongolian gerbil), 1160 nucleotides long. RefSeq lists it as uncharacterized. NCBI's taxonomy places the organism in Eukaryota, Metazoa, Chordata, Mammalia, Rodentia, Muridae. The record is from RefSeq and is a predicted model, not a curated record. The transcript is spliced from 3 exons.